CGGGUCUGAACCCAGCUUCUUUCCUCCAGGUCACCAAGGUCCUGGGCAGGACCGGUUCUCAGGGACAGUGCACGCAGGUGCGCGUGGAAUUCAUGGACGACACGAGCCGAUCCAUCAUCCGCAAUGUAAAAGGCCCCGUGCGCGAGGGCGACGUGCUCACCCUUUUGGAGUCAGAGCGAGAAGCCCGGAGGUUACGCUGAGCUUGGCUGCUCGCUGGGUCUUGGAUGUCGGGUUCGACCACUUGGCCGAUGGGAAUGGUCUGUCACAAUCUGCUCCUUUUUUUUGUCCGCCACACGGAAUUGAGAUGCUCCUUUAAAUAAAGCGUUUGUGUUUCAAGUUAACUCAGGUUCUUGUCUGGGUUAUGCGACUAGGGUUUCUCCAGGUUUCUUGAGUGGCUCCCAGGCGGUCACCGAUCCUCCGCACUCUGGAAAUCCUGGCCGUGCGGUCUUGCCAAACGAAGCUUUUCCUUUUUGAGGCGGGGGGUCGUGUUUGUAUAUUGCACCCUCUACCCCAAACAAAACACAAGCGUAGUAGGAAUGUUUUAUUAGCAAAGAAGUUUCAGAGAGUGGGUGGAUCAGGGCUCUAUCACUUGGUCCCCACCUCACCUUGGUGGGGCCAGGGUGAGCCCCUUCCUGCCACAGUCACCCCAACUGAAAUUGCCUUUCUCUUCGGCCAGUGUUAGCCUCUGAGCAGAGGACCCUGGACCCUUCUGUGCGCCAAAGGCUGAGGUGACUGACGAGGAGAUCUCCCCACAGCUAGGUGUAGUGAGCCAGACGAGGCAGCUUACUGAACCUGGGGGUUCUCUCCAUUGUCACUGCAUUCUCCUUCACCAGGUGUGGCUGUCUGGGAGCCAGGGGGUGACUCGCUCUGGAGAGAGGGGAAAAGAGGGGGGCCUGCUGCAAUCUCCUUGAGGCAGGAAACGUGGGAUUCAGCCCCAGCCUCACUUAGUGGAGGUUCUUUUACCAUGGACCCAGGCUGCCUGGUUUGUAUCCAACCUCUGCCCCUUCUGACCUGGAAGAGGCGCUUGACCUUCCUCCCACAUCCCUUCCAGUGGGGUGAGUACAGGUGUUCCUCAGUUUACAAUGGGUUACAUCCCGGUGAGUACAUCAUAGGUUGAAAGUAUUGCAAGUUGAAAGGUGUUUAAUACACCUAAUCUCCCAAACAUCACAGCUUAGCAUGGUCCAUCUUAAGCUUGUUCAGAACGCCUUAGCCUGUAGUUGG
This 1221-nucleotide long non-coding RNA is filed under the name Pan troglodytes (chimpanzee). RNAcentral describes it as "long non-coding RNA NONPTRT007952". Lineage: Eukaryota; Metazoa; Chordata; Mammalia; Primates; Hominidae. The record is from RNAcentral.